AAACUCUGUCUCUACUGAAAAUAAAAAAUUAGCCGGGCAUGGUGGCAGCCGCCUAUAAUCCCAGCUACUUGGGAGGCUGAGGCAGGAGAAUUGCUUGAACCCAGGAGGUGGAGGUUGCAGUGAGCUGAGAUCAUGAGAUCGCACCACUGCACUCCAGUCUGGAUGACAGAGCAAGACUUCAUCUCAAAAAAAAAAAAAAGAAUAUUAUAUGCCAAGCAUUAUGCUGAUGUAUAUUUCCUCACUCAACCCAUAACAACCCUAAUGGGGUAGGUAUUCUGUAUUCAUGCCAUCUUUAUAGGGAAGGAAAAGAAAGCUGAGCAGGAAUUUAUCAUUUGCCUAAAAUCCACCUGGAUUUGAACCUAAGUCUGCCUAAUUCCAAACUUUUGCCGUUAACCUCUAUGCCCUUUUGCCAUUUAAUUAGAACUAAAUCAAGCAUUUCUAGAACUAUGGGUAGCAGGAUUAGGAUGCAGACUAUCUGCAUUCUCGUCUGGCUCUGCCACAACCAACUAUUUGAUCAAGGGCAGGUGAAUUAACUGGUGAGAACCUGUUUCUUUAUCUGUUAAAUGAGAUGAUAGAUUACAAGACUUUAGUGUUUUCUAUUCUGUGAUUCUAUUUAUGUAAAUAUUCACUAACCACCAUGUGGUUAUGAACAGGCACAAAACCAAAGUAAAAGACGUUAAAUUUAAAUUUAAAAUAAAUUUUAACAGAAGGUACAUGUUUGUUUUAUUGUUUUGCUUUACAGCCAAAAGCAAACCAAAACACCAGAGAUGCUCAUUUAAGCAGUAGGGCCCUAACUUUUGAGUGUGACGGCAGUUAUGUCUGUAAAUGAAUUUUAUUCAUUGCUGUGAGGGAUAGAUAUAUAUGUUCACUUCCUGCAAAAAUUGAAACUAAAUGUUAACAGUAUUUAAUCUAUUUAUUCAGAGUGUAUUCAGAGAGAUUUAAUGAAGAAAUUAACACUGUGUCAGAUGGGAUGGGGCAGAUCAAUGUCCUAUAAUUGUGUGGCCUAAAUUUGGCUAAGUUAGAUUUAGUUUUUCUCAGAUAAUUUUAGGGUUUCCAGGCUUUUCUUAUUCUGUACAUAAUGAUCCAGCCUUUUCUUGUCCCGUUUAUAAUGGAAAUCUUCUAUGCUGGUUAUUUUGCUAAUCCUUCCCAGUCCUUCCCUUUCCUCUCCACCUGCAUCUCUUCUUCCCCCUGCUCUGCCCUGGACUGUGCCUCAGAAGGCUGAAAUGUGCUAACUGCAUCUCCAUAAGUCUUUUUGAAUUGAAACACACAGGAGAUCUGAGAGUAUAAAGUUGGUAUGUCUUCCCUGCCCCCACUUUGGCACACCAUCUCUUACAGCAGCUUCAUCACUCCUGCAUCACUCCCCAGCCACACUGGCCUUCUUCCCCAGCUCCGGCUUCUACUGGGCCCUGCUAACUACUCUAUAUUCUUUGUUUCUACAGGCCCAGGGGGGAAACGGUUUUCCCUCUGAAGCUGGUCCCUGAGUAUCUCACCGUAUUUUGUCUCUUCUUAACCUUGCUUAUAUAUUUUUGAGUAGUCUUUUCAUUAAAGUCUCUUCAUUUGAACCAUCUAGGAUGAAUUUUGUUUCUUCCCCAGGACCCCAGCUGAUUCACUAUCACUUACCUAAAACUCAUUGAAUUGGAAUUUAAGCACCUCAUCCCAAAGAUGACAUUGACUUCAAUCAAUGAGUACAUAUUGAGCAUCUUGAUGUGCUUAAGGGUAUACUAAGAGCUAUGACAGGUACAAGAGUCAUUCGAGGCUAGCCCAAGUGCAGUGGUGUCUACAACAAAUUGAUCACAACCAGUGGCAGAUUUCUUUGUUCCUUCUCUACUUCCAUUGCUUCACUUGACUAG
Molecule: long non-coding RNA, 1850 nt
Filed under: Homo sapiens (human)
Lineage: Eukaryota; Metazoa; Chordata; Mammalia; Primates; Hominidae
Description: HSALNT0090145
Rfam family: Y RNA (bases 1755-1850)
Source: RNAcentral